Molecule: ribosomal RNA, 907 nt
Filed under: Penicillium citrinum
Lineage: Eukaryota; Fungi; Ascomycota; Eurotiomycetes; Eurotiales; Aspergillaceae
Description: partial 28S ribosomal RNA
Rfam family: Eukaryotic large subunit ribosomal RNA
Source: RNAcentral
UGACCUCGGAUCAGGUAGGGAUACCCGCUGAACUUAAGCAUAUCAAUAAGCGGAGGAAAAGAAACCAACCGGGAUUGCCCUAGUAACGGCGAGUGAAGCGGCAAGAGCUCAAAUUUGAAAGCUGGCCCCCUCGGGGUCCGCAUUGUAAUUUGCAGAGGAUGCUUCGGGAACGGCCCCCAUCUAAGUGCCCUGGAACGGGCCGUCAUAGAGGGUGAGAAUCCCGUCUGGGAUGGGGUGGCCGCGCCCGUGUGAAGCUCCUUCGACGAGUCGAGUUGUUUGGGAAUGCAGCUCUAAUUGGGUGGUAAAUUUCAUCUAAAGCUAAAUAUUGGCCGGAGACCGAUAGCGCACAAGUAGAGUGAUCGAAAGAUGAAAAGCACUUUGAAAAGAGAGUUAAACAGCACGUGAAAUUGUUGAAAGGGAAGCGCUUGCGACCAGACUCGCCCGCGGGGUUCAGCCGGCACUCGUGCCGGUGUACUUCCCCGCGGGCGGGCCAGCGUCGGUUUGGGCGGCCGGUCAAAGGCCUCUGGAAGGUAACGCCUCUCGGGGCGUCUUAUAGCCAGGGGUGCCAUGCGGCCUGCCCGGACCGAGGAACGCGCUUCGGCUCGGACGCUGGCAUAAUGGUCGUAAGCGACCCGUCUUGAAACACGGACCAAGGAGUCUAACAUCUACGCGAGUGUUCGGGUGUCAAACCCGUGCGCGCAGUGAAAGCGAACGGAGGUGGGAACCCCCCGGGGUGCACCAUCGACCGAUCCUGAUGUCUUCGGAUGGAUUUGAGUAAGAGCGUAGCUGUUGGGACCCGAAAGAUGGUGAACUAUGCCUGAAUAGGGCGAAGCCAGAGGAAACUCUGGUGGAGGCUCGCAGCGGUUCUGACGUGCAAAUCGAUCGUCAAAUUUGGGUAUAGGGGCGA